UCCGAUGAUGAAACGGCACUGGGCUCCGACGGCAUUUAAACAAAAUGUCCGGUCAUGAUUGGAUGCGCCUUUUUUGCGGCAGGCCUAGAAAACCUCGCCCACUGAGA
This is a small nucleolar RNA of Penicillium italicum, 107 nucleotides long. It matches the Rfam family "A. fumigatus snoRNA Afu_513". Lineage: Eukaryota; Fungi; Ascomycota; Eurotiomycetes; Eurotiales; Aspergillaceae. The record is from Rfam.